RNAcentral lists this ribosomal RNA (420 nucleotides) under Mesorhizobium sp. RNAcentral describes it as "partial 23S ribosomal RNA". It matches the Rfam family "Bacterial large subunit ribosomal RNA", at positions 441 to 864 of the family's 2925-position model. Lineage: Bacteria; Pseudomonadati; Pseudomonadota; Alphaproteobacteria; Hyphomicrobiales; Phyllobacteriaceae. The record is from RNAcentral.
AAUAUGGGGGGACCAUCCUCCAAGGCUAAAUACUACUGACUGACCGAUAGUGAACCAGUACCGUGAGGGAAAGGCGAAAAGAACCCCGGAGAGGGGAGUGAAAUAGAACCUGAAACCGUAUGCGUACAAGCAGUGGGAGCCUACUUGUUAGGUGACUGCGUACCUUUUGUAUAAUGGGUCAGCGACUUAUAUUCAGUGGCAAGCUUAACCGUAUAGGGUAGGCGUAGCGAAAGCGAGUCUUAAUAGGGCGUUUAGUCGCUGGGUAUAGACCCGAAACCGGGCGAUCUAUCCAUGAGCAGGUUGAAGGUUAGGUAACACUGACUGGAGGACCGAACCCACUCCCGUUGAAAAGGUAGGGGAUGACUUGUGGAUCGGAGUGAAAGGCUAAUCAAGCUCGGAGAUAGCUGGUUCUCCUCGAAA